GGUUCUAUGUUCUAUAAUUUAGGAUCUGACCUGCUCAAUGUAAUAUGAAUAGCCGCGGUAUUUUAACCGUGCGAAGGUAGCAUAAUAAUUAGGCUAUUAAUUGUAGUCUUGAAUGAAAGGUUUGACGAGGAAAAUUCUUUCUUGUUUAUAAUGUUGAAAUUAAAAUUCCAGUAAGAAUGCUGGUAUUAUGUAAAAAGACGAGAAGACCCUAUUGAGUUUAAUAUUUAAAAUAUUUGAUAUAUUUGGUUGGGGCGACUUUUAAAAAACAUUUUAGGUAGAUCCAUUAAUAAUGAUUAAUAGAAUAAAUUACCAUAGGGAUAACAGCAUAAUUCAAUUGGAAAGUUCAUAUUGAUAGUUGAGUUUGUGACCUCGAUGUUGGAUUAAGAUUCCUUUUAGGUGCAGGUGCUUAAACAGGUAGACUGUUCGUCUAUUAAAUUCUUACA
Molecule: ribosomal RNA, 443 nt
Filed under: Scolopendra sp. CUMZ 00317
Lineage: Eukaryota; Metazoa; Arthropoda; Chilopoda; Scolopendromorpha; Scolopendridae
Description: partial 16S ribosomal RNA
Rfam family: Bacterial large subunit ribosomal RNA
Source: RNAcentral